RNAcentral lists this ribosomal RNA (272 nucleotides) under uncultured bacterium. Its description in RNAcentral is "partial 16S ribosomal RNA". It matches the Rfam family "Bacterial small subunit ribosomal RNA", at positions 524 to 794 of the family's 1533-position model. The record is from RNAcentral.
UACGAAGGUGGCUAGCGUUGUUCGGAUUUACUGGGCGUAAAGGGAGCGUAGGCGGUUUUUUCAAGUCAGGCGUGAAAGCCCGAGGCUUAACCUCGGAAUUGCGCUUGAAACUGAUUGACUGGAGUAUGGGAGAGGAUAGCGGAAUUCCUAGUGUAGAGGUGAAAUUCGUAGAUAUUAGGAAGAACACCGGUGGCGAAGGCGGCUAUCUGGACCAUAACUGACGCUGAAGCUCGAAAGCAUGGGGAUCAAACAGGAUUAGAAACCCUUGUAGU